CCUACGGGGUGCAGCAGUAGGGAAUAUUGCUCAAUGGGCGAAACCCUGAAGCAGCAACGCCGCGUGGAGGAUGAAGGCUUUCGGAUUGUAAACCUCUUUUGUUAGAGAAGAUAAUGACGGUAUCUAACGAAUAAUGACCGGCUAAUACCGAGCAAGCAGGCGCGGUAAUACGGAGGGUGCAAGCGUUACUCGGAUUUACUGGGCGUAAAGAGAGCGUAGGCGGGAUAGCAAGUCAGAUGUGAAAUCCUUAGGCUUAACCGUAGAACUGCAGUUGAAACUGUUAGUCUGGAGUGUAGUAGAGGUAGGUGGAAUUCUUGGUGUAGCGGUGAAAUGCGUAGAGAUCAAGAAGAAUACUCAUUGCGAAGGCAGCUUUCUAGACUAUAACUGACGCUGAUGCUCGAAAGCGUGGGGAGCAAACAGGAUUAGAUACCCUUGUAGUC
RNAcentral lists this ribosomal RNA (440 nucleotides) under uncultured bacterium. RNAcentral describes it as "partial 16S ribosomal RNA". It matches the Rfam family "Bacterial small subunit ribosomal RNA", at positions 338 to 795 of the family's 1533-position model. The record is from RNAcentral.